This 517-nucleotide long non-coding RNA is filed under the name Homo sapiens (human). RNAcentral describes it as "non-protein coding lnc-GOLGA6L7-5:1". The record is from RNAcentral. Lineage: Eukaryota; Metazoa; Chordata; Mammalia; Primates; Hominidae.
ACAAGCUCCCAGAUUCGUCAGAAUGAUUCCACCGAGGAGGAAGCUGCAGUCAGCUGCCUGGUCCAUGUGCAUCGGCGGGUGUCCUGCACUUACCAUUCCCUGGGCUUCUAUUUCAACCACAAUGAGUGGCUCUGGAGCGCUUUGGCUGCUUCUUCCAUGAGUUGGUUCAAUAGAAGCACAAGGGCACAGUGUGUCUCUUGGAAGUGCAAAACCAGCUGCACCAUCUUCCAAGGUGCACAGAAGCCAUCUCUAGAUGAGUGGGGAAAAUCAUGGAUGCCAUCAAAGCCACCGUUGCCUGGAGAAGAAUCUGAACCAGGCCCUUAUGGAUCCGCAUGCCCUGGGAUCUGCCCACACAGACUUUCAUCUCUGUGACUUUCAGGACAGCCAUUUCCUAAAUGGGAAGAUGAAACUCUUCAAGAUGAUGGGCAACCACCGCAGUUACCUUUGCUGGCCGGCCAGCCCCCAGGCCCACCUGCACCAGUCUCUUUUCCAAAAGCCUACCCACAAGCACAACCAG